Limulus polyphemus (Atlantic horseshoe crab) is the source of this 1070-nucleotide long non-coding RNA. RefSeq lists it as uncharacterized. Lineage: Eukaryota; Metazoa; Arthropoda; Merostomata; Xiphosura; Limulidae. The record is from RefSeq and is a predicted model, not a curated record. The transcript is spliced from 6 exons.
AAAUAUUCGUCAACCCGUUGAUCCAUAGAUGAAGGAAUAUAACUUUCAGAUUCAACGUUGAAAAGUCACAGAAGCGAGUGCGACAAUCUUACAACCGCAAGAGUCUCUAACACAAAGAAGUUCUGGCCACUGACUCGUUCAUACACUGUAUGCAGGCUACUUGAUAGUUUAUAGGUGCCAAAUAAGUACUUAACAUCAUCUGGAACCGUAGAUGAACGAACAAACCUAUCUAUGAAUGUUAUACAGAAGGUAAUAUCCAACGUUGAAAAUAUCGAAAGCUACAGCGAGAACCUUACACCCGUUAGGCUCUUUCUGACACAAUUAAAAUGAAUUCUUCCGACACCAGAGAAAAUGCUCAUCGUUCUAUGCCGUUGCAGAAAAUUUCAAUGGCGCAAGAAGGCUUUGAAAUUGCGCCUCCACCCUUUCCAUCAAAAUAAAGGACUUAUUCUGCUUAGCUUGUCUUUGAACUCGAGGACGUCCCGUAACCUGAGCCGGAAUGUAGAGAAGGUGAAGAUAGAACAUGAACGAAUUUUCUUUGCAAGCACAAAGUCCUCACCACUUGCAUAUCCAUAUGGUCUAUACGAACUACUUAACUUUAUAAGGGUUCAAAGAACGACGUUUUGAAAACAACCAGCGAACACAACUAUUUUAAGACGUUAUACAGAAGACAAGAUCCAAUGUUUGCAAGCUAGUAACGGUUAGCUGGUCUUGGAACCCAGGAACUUCCGUUGAACUGAAUUAGAGCCGGAAGCUAAAGCCGAAUAUAGAAGAAAAGAGAUUGAUUUAGUCUUGAAAGGUAUGUGUAUUUAAAUUGUUAAAGAUUGACGAUGUCACUAUAAUGAGGGCGUUAAAAGUAAGGAUACUAAAAUUAGGCAUUUUGAACAGUGAUUAAUGUAAUCCCUUUGUUUUUCUGAAGGGGAAGGAAUGUGAAGUAGCAGGUUCAAUUUUUUAGUUUUGAAUUUGUUAACCUUUCUAUUGUUAUUCAUUCUCUCGUUUGGUUAAGUUGUAAAUAUUUAGCUUUACAUAUAAACACUAACUCACAUUCUAGUUAGUCACAUCAAUUUUUAAAU